AUCAUAGAUACUAUAUAUACCAAGUGGAUGCGAAACAGGAAGUAGAUUGUACAUGAAAUUAUAUUGGUGACGUCACGAGCAGUAUGCCUAUGCUCUUUUCGCUCUAGCGUAGCCUCUAGUGGCCUUGUUUCUCGAAGUUUUGGGUUCUUGGUCAAGUUACUACUUUGCUGAGUUGAAGUAAGUAUUAUGAAGUCUCUAUUAGCUCGAAUGACUUGCUGAAUCCUUGUUUGCUUGAUCACUGGAUCUCGUUGUGCUGUAAAACAUGGCGGCCUAUAGUUCUGACUUUAAACACCUUUUCUCCAAUCUGGGGCAGAGUUAGGUAUGAAUAUGAAACCAAUGAAGAUAAAUUGUCUGUUGUUUCUUGUACUGACUCUUUUCAGAAGAAAUAUAGAUUUUUAUGAAGUUUUUUAUAAUUAUUGAUUUUGCCACCAUUUUGGUUGCUAAGCGUAUCUAGGAAAAACGUCA
Amphimedon queenslandica is the source of this 465-nucleotide long non-coding RNA. RefSeq lists it as uncharacterized. The transcript has 2 exons. Lineage: Eukaryota; Metazoa; Porifera; Demospongiae; Haplosclerida; Niphatidae. The record is from RefSeq and is a predicted model, not a curated record.